This 792-nucleotide ribosomal RNA is filed under the name Placopsis clavifera. RNAcentral's name for it is "SSU rRNA". It matches the Rfam family "Eukaryotic small subunit ribosomal RNA", at positions 82 to 881 of the family's 1831-position model. Lineage: Eukaryota; Fungi; Ascomycota; Lecanoromycetes; Trapeliales; Trapeliaceae. The record is from RNAcentral.
GAAACUGGCGAAUGGCUCAUUAAAUCAGUUAUCGUUUAUUUGAUAGUACCUACUUACUUGGAUAACCGUGGUAAUUCUAGAGCUAAUACAUGCUAAAAACCUCGACUUCGGAAGGGGUGUAUUUAUUAGAUAAAAAACCAAUGCCCUCCGGGGCUCCUUGGUGAUUCAUAAUAACUUAACGAAUCGCAUGGCCUUGCGCCGGCGAUGGUUCAUUCAAAUUUCUGCCCUAUCAACUUUCGAUGGUAGGAUAGUGGCCUACCAUGGUGGCAACGGGUAACGGGGAAUUAGGGUUCUAUUCCGGAGAGGGAGCCUGAGAAACGGCUACCACAUCCAAGGAAGGCAGCAGGCGCGCAAAUUACCCAAUCCCGACACGGGGAGGUAGUGACAAUAAAUACUGAUGUGGAGCUCUUUAGGGUUUCACAAUUGGAAUGAGAAAAAUCUAAACCACUUAAACGAGGAACAAUUGGAGGGCAAGUCUGGUGCCAGCAGCCGCGGUAAUUCCAGCUCCAAUAGCGUAUAUUAAAGUUGUUGCAGUUAAAAAGCUCGUAGUUGAACCUUGGGCCUGGCCGGUCGGUCCGCCUCACCGCGUGCACUGGUUCGGCCGGGCCUUUCCUCCUGGGGAACCGCAUGCCCUUCACUGGGUGUGCCGGGGAAUCAGGACUUUUACUUUGAAAAAAUUAGAGUGUUCAAAGCAGGCAUUUGCUCGAAUACAUUAGCAUGGAAUAAUAGAAUAGGACGUUGUGGUUCUAUUUUGUUGGUUUCUAGGACCGCCGUAAUGAUUAAUAGGGACGA